Molecule: non-coding RNA, 330 nt
Organism: Vicia faba (fava bean)
Lineage: Eukaryota; Viridiplantae; Streptophyta; Magnoliopsida; Fabales; Fabaceae
Source: the annotation of a GenBank genome assembly
AUGGUUUUAUGGAUUAUUCCAAGUUUGAAAGCAAUGGAUUGUUUCAAAGUCCAUUUAAAACUAUUGCGCUUUCAUAUGUUGAUUCGUUUAUACAAAAGUGAAGAAAAGCUUGAGAUUCAAUUUCAAAUAGGACAAAGUGGAGAGAAAGGUGAAUUUCAAAUCAUUUUGAGACAAGGCAUGUUCCAUUACAUAUUCAAGAGUUCAAUACACAAGGCCUUUUCAAAUUCAAAAGCCAAAAGUACAUUACAAAUUCAAAAUAGGAAAUACAUGGGAAAGAUGUACACUUUUGACUAUGAACAAUUGACCAAGACUUCUACAAAUCCUCCCUAA